RNAcentral lists this ribosomal RNA (460 nucleotides) under uncultured bacterium. RNAcentral describes it as "partial 16S ribosomal RNA". It matches the Rfam family "Bacterial small subunit ribosomal RNA", at positions 338 to 795 of the family's 1533-position model. The record is from RNAcentral.
CCUACGGGAGGCAGCAGUGAGGAAUAUUGGUCAAUGGGCGCAAGCCUGAACCAGCCAAGUCGCGUGAGGGAUGACGGUCCUAUGGAUUGUAAACCUCUUUUGUCGGGGAGCAAGGCCCGCCACGUGUGGCGGGAAGGAGAGUACCCGAAGAAAAACAAUCGGCUAACACCGUGCCAGCAGCCCCGGUAAUACGGAGGAUGCGAGCGUUAUCCGGAUUUAUUGGGUUUAAAGGGUGCGUAGGCGGAAGGUUAAGUCAGGGGUCAAAGGCCGGUGCUCAACACCGGCCUGCCGUUGAAACUGGUCUUCUGGAGGGGGCGAGAAGUAUGCGGAAUGCGGGGUGUAGCGGUGAAAUGCAUAGAUAUCACGCAGAACUCCGAUUGCGAAGGCAGCAUACCGGCGCUCAACUGACGCUGAGGCACGAAAGCGUGGGGAUCGAACAGGAUUAGAUACCCUGGUAGUC